CGGUGAUAUUUAAUGAAAGUGAAAGGAGCCAAAGCAGAGAUACAAUCAACUAUUGUAUCAACCAAUCUCAUCAAAAGCGCAGUGCUAAAAUUCCUCAAUCUCAUGACAACCAAUAUGCUUGUUUUAUUAAUCCUUUUUCUCCAAUUUUAAAUUCUUGAUUUACCAAUUGUGAUGCUUGAUGGAAAACGUAACCACACUUUCUUAAAAAUGGAAAGCAUAUUCAUGUUGCACACUUAAAAUUGCAAGAUAGUAACAC
Molecule: long non-coding RNA, 256 nt
Filed under: Elaeis guineensis (African oil palm)
Lineage: Eukaryota; Viridiplantae; Streptophyta; Magnoliopsida; Arecales; Arecaceae
Description: long non-coding RNA (EGUI_LNC044838)
Source: RNAcentral